GACGAACGCUGGCGGCGUGCUUAACACAUGCAAGUCGAACGAUGAAGGAGAGCUUGCUCUCCGGAUUAGUGGCGAACGGGUGAGUAACACGUAACUAACCUGCCCCUUUCUCUGGGAUAACGCUCCGAAAGGAGUGCUAAUACCGGAUACGAACUCUGAACACAUGUUCGGAGUUGGAAAGUUUUUCGGAAAGGGAUGGAGUCGCGGCCUAUCAGCUUGUUGGUGAGGUAAUGGCUCACCAAGGCGACGACGGGUAGCCGGACUGAGAGGGCGACCGUCCACACUGGGACUGGGACACGGCCCAGACUCCUACGGGAGGCAGCAGUGGGGAAUAUUGCACAAUGGGCGAAAGCCUGAUGCAGCGACGCCGCGUGAGGGAUGAAGGUCUUCGGAUUGUAAACCUCUUUCAGUAGGGACGAAGCGAAAGUGACGGUACCUAAAGAAGAAGCACCGGCUAACUACGUGCCAGCAGCCGCCGUAA
Molecule: ribosomal RNA, 481 nt
Filed under: uncultured bacterium
Lineage: Bacteria
Description: partial 16S ribosomal RNA
Rfam family: Bacterial small subunit ribosomal RNA
Source: RNAcentral